UACAGAGGUCUCGAGCGUUAGGCGGAAUCACUGGGCUUAAAGCGUGUGUAGGCGGCGGGCUAAGUACCUUGUGAAAUCCCACGGCUUAACUGUGGAACUGCUGGGUAUACUGGUUCGCUUGAGCGGUCUAGGGGCGAGCGGAACAAAUGGUGGAGCGGUGAAAUGCGUAGAGAUCUGGAAGAACACCAAUGGCGAAGGCAGCAUCCUGGGAGGCAUCUGGACGCUGAGGCGCGAAAGCCCAGGGGAGCGAACGGG
This 255-nucleotide ribosomal RNA is filed under the name uncultured bacterium. Its description in RNAcentral is "partial 16S ribosomal RNA". It matches the Rfam family "Bacterial small subunit ribosomal RNA", at positions 524 to 776 of the family's 1533-position model. The record is from RNAcentral.